CCUGUCGCCAAUCCCAGCAGCUGCAGAUGAGGCAUCAGUAACACAUGCCCGUGCUGCUACAUGCCCGGAUGGAACUUCAGUUGCACGUAGGGUUGCCACCUGGCUGGUAUUUUACCGCCACAGAUGGUAUUUUGGCCACCCUGCCGGUCAAUAAGAUUACAAGGAUACUCAAUUUAUAUUUGUUUGCAUACCCAUCAAUUAGAAACUAAAAAGCAGCUGGACAAAAUUUUCAACAACUUGGCAGGUGAUGACGACUCCGGGACUUAGGGUAAUGCCCGUUCUGUUUGUCACUGGCUGAGGCAGGUCAUCUUUGUAUCUAGAAACAGGCUGAGUGGGCAGUUCCUUCAACGACAUCACAGGAAACAGCAGUGAGCAGCAGGGGCCAGAAGCCACGGAAUAGGCAGCUGCAGGGGAUCAGAGGAGGGCAACAGUGGGCACCAUUUGGCUUAUCUGCCUAGAGCACUAUAAUACUUGUCAAUGCCUGAGGUGAGGUGUAGGACACUAAAAUUAUUUAGAAGAGAUAUACUAUAGGAUACAGCUCCAUGUGCAUUCUCCGAUACCACACCAUAUUAUGUACUGUAAAGAACAGCAAUGGAAGAGCAGAGCCAGGACCCACUCGGAGGGCAACUAAGGACCACUUGUGGGCCAUGGGCUGCCAUCUACCCCAACACUAAUCUAUCCUUACACCUGCUGUAGCAUAUAAAUGACAAACUCUAUAAAUAAA
Molecule: long non-coding RNA, 724 nt
Organism: Hyla sarda
Lineage: Eukaryota; Metazoa; Chordata; Amphibia; Anura; Hylidae
Exons: 5
Source: RefSeq, a predicted model, not a curated record